ACACACACACACACACUCCAAUUAGGACUCAAAGCUGAAAAACAAGGUCCAGUGGAAGCUGAAGGGGCUGGUGGAGCUGCAGACACAGCUGUUUCCCCAGCUCAAGAGAUUGUCUUACAAAGUCUUCAGAAUGAUCUUUAAUAUGAAGAGUAUUCAUGAAAACCAUAUUUUAUGUACUGUUCUGGGCAGAUGAGAUCACAGGAUGGAAGCUAUAUGCAGACAUUCCGAGGACUUCAAGCCUAGGACACAGCAUCUCAGAUAACGCUGAGAGACUGUUCUGAAGAGGCAAGAGGUGGGGAGGAGUCAG
Cervus elaphus (red deer) is the source of this 307-nucleotide long non-coding RNA. RefSeq lists it as uncharacterized. The transcript has 3 exons. The record is from RefSeq and is a predicted model, not a curated record. NCBI's taxonomy places the organism in Eukaryota, Metazoa, Chordata, Mammalia, Artiodactyla, Cervidae.